UUGGAAGGACUUUCUGUUGGACGCAUAUUGGGCACUGCUUCAACUUGCUGCGCAUUAUAGCAGUACCCAAUGUGCGUCCAAAAGAUCGUCCUUCCAC
RNAcentral lists this microRNA precursor (97 nucleotides) under Ectocarpus siliculosus. RNAcentral describes it as "miR3458 stem-loop (esi-MIR3458)". Lineage: Eukaryota; Phaeophyceae; Ectocarpales; Ectocarpaceae. The record is from miRBase by way of RNAcentral.